This is a long non-coding RNA of Drosophila obscura, 2947 nucleotides long. RefSeq lists it as uncharacterized. The transcript has 9 exons. NCBI's taxonomy places the organism in Eukaryota, Metazoa, Arthropoda, Insecta, Diptera, Drosophilidae. The record is from RefSeq and is a predicted model, not a curated record.
AGUCGCUCUGCAACCUGUAGGAGGAUCUUCACGUGCUGUUCGAAGCUCUCGGAUAUAAUCAGCAAGUCGUCGAGGCGUUGUGCAGCGUUGCAAAGACCGAAGGGCAUUAUCCGGAACUGGUAUAAUGGUCUUCCUGGCACUGUGAAAGCAGUGUAGGCUCGGCUCGGCUCGUCCAGCUCGAUUUGCCAAAAUGCGAAUUUUAAAUCGACGCUGGAGAUGUAUAUCGUCUGGUCGAGACGCGACAAAAUCCCCUCGAUGCUAGGCAGUGGAUAGGCGUCCUUGAUGGUCACCUUGUUGAGCUUUCGGUCAUCGAGACAGAACCGAUUUUUCCCCGGCCGUCGCACAACCGUAGUGCGCUUGCUCCACGGGCUAUCACUGUGCUCGAUGACUCCUAAAGCCAACAUCUUGUCCACCUCCACAAAAACCACGUCCUGCAUCGCUGGCGAUAAUGGAUAAUGUCGAUCCUUUACAGGCUCGGCAUUCUCCACAAGCUGGAUUUUAUGCGUCUCUAUCGACGUCUUGCCCAGGCCUACCCCUUCAAAUGUCAGAAUUUCUGCCUUCACCUUAUCCAAGACGAUUUUCUGCUCCUCCGACAACUCCCAUUCCUCCUGCACAAUUUCCUUCUCCGGUCCUUCUACAUAGUGAGCGACUUGGUCAGCCAUCACUUCUUCUACCAAUCUGUGUGAUGCACCUACAGGACAUUCUCCCAUCACCUCAGGAGCCAAUGCAAAAGCCCGCCAAAAGUCUACACCCAACCAAUUCCACUCGACCAACGAUUGCGCGAUCUUCUCCAUUUGCCACCUUAACUAUGGACGAAUAGCGACGAGCCACUACACCCAGCUUCUCCAAGAACUCCUGGCCAUUCUUGCCUAACAUGCUGUGCGUAGCGCCUGAGUCCAACAACCCUCUAAUGGAUUCCCCCAUUAUCGAGAUUCCAGCGAAUACUCUUGGGUAGCUUUUGCUACAGCGCUGUACUGAGGCAAUCACCUGUCUCCUCACCGAUCGUCUCUGCUUAAACCGGGAUCUUGCCUUCUUUACCCGAACUGACAGUGCUCGCAUCCCAUCCACCUUUAAGUCGGAAAAUAUUCUAUUACGGACCUUUAAGUAAUUCCUUAACCGCUCUUCAUACGUUCGCAGGCCCCAUCUGUGAGCGUGUUUCGCCUGCUUGAAUCGCGCUCUUCUUCGCGUUUCCCGCACAAUUCGGACAGGUCGGACAAUAUGCAUCGGGCUUUCCACAGCGGUAGCAGAAGAUUCGCGUCUCUGCUGCCAUACAGUCCCGAAAACCAUGAUCCGUUUUCCCGCAGUUCCAGCAAGUCAACUUUACUGGACCCCGCCUUGUCACUUGCGCCUCCUCACAGACUUAUGCCUCCUCAUUGCUUCUCGACAGAUCCUGCGCGACCUCACUGACGUUCGCUCCUCGGCCAAAGUUGGUGGCUUUUGGUGCUCCUCGCCACGAAGAUCGGGACUUCCGCUUCAAGUGUGCCUCUAUUUCCACGCAUUCAUCACGCAGUUGGUCUAUGGAGUACACUCGUGGUGGCGUCUCUACCCUCGAAGAAAGCUUCCUCAUGGCAUGAAAAAAGUCUUCCACGCUCUCGUUUGGCCGUUGCAUCCGUUCCCGCAGUUCUCUCAUUCGGUCGAACUCGGAAGCUGUGCCUCGGAAACGUGCAACUAAAUCAUCCCUCAACUCCUGCCAGUUACCACCACGAUGAUCCCGGACAUCGCAUUUGCGCCUGCAGGAAUUCGACUCGGAAAACGAAAUCCUCUACGGUCACUUUAUUGGCGUCGCCAUCGAAAGUCACGUCCCACUUCUCGACUCGGCCCCACCGAGGCCACGAUCGGUAAUGGGACGACUGUGGAUGCUGCUCCUCACGUGGGCUGCUGGUUGUUCUCCCACCGAAUCUUCUAUUCCCGCUACGACCCGUACCUUGCUGCCUCGUUAUCGGGUUUAGCCAAUUUUGAGCCCGAUGAUCACCCCGUCGAUGCUGGUCUGCAGAUGCCAUCGCCCCUACUCCUGAAGACGGUUCCGGACCAUUCCCAUCGUGCCCCGACCGUGACAAACGUGGUUUUGGUGGCGGUAUGGCCGCUUCAGUCGAACUCGACGGUUUCCUCUUCGAAUAGUUCUUUUUAGAGGAGGACACUUGACUAGCCGGGACCAACAACCGCUCCAGUUUCUGCGCUCCACUUGACAGUCGUCCUACGGAUACACUACAUUCACAAAACACCCCUUUUGUGUGACUUGUCGCCUACACUAGUCAUCACUUUGAGUGAUGGCCGAUAAGCGAGAAGCCUCACGGUGCACCAGUUCAACAUUCUUGUGUCUUGUCCCCGCCAUCCAUCCUACCGAUUUGCCGUGACAGCCGAUGCAUCGCGGACUGUCAUUACGACACCCGGGCCACAGACUCCUCACAACAUCUCGGCGGACAGACAACCAAACCAAAACACGAAAGCGACUAUUUACAAACAAACAGAUUUAUUCGAUACCACCAGGCAAUGUGUCCGUCGCAAACUACCAGUUCCUUCGUGGAACAGCAGUGACUUACGUCCACUAGCGACAUCGAACUGUGGCGAAACGCAACAUGGAACUCCGUUGGCCACUCCGCGCCAUUAAGGGUCAGCUUUGCGCUCCCCUUAAGCCUGCAGCAGCGACUUCUGCCGGGACAGCUAAACUGCAUUUCGCGAGCCGUCGUCUUCUCUACAAAAAAUUUUAUUUUUAUUUAUUUCUCCAAUGCAUUCCCCUCUACACGUCCAGGAGUCAUUUGUUACAAUGACACCUGGAGUUGCGUCAGUCCAAAUGCAUUGGAACAAUAAAUUAUUGGGCGCCAUUUGUUACAGCCGGCGUUGCCCCACGAGCCGCAAGCCGAAUGUAACAUAUUUACGGCAUAUUUUGAAAAUGACGUUUCUGAGGUUCCAGUCACACUCGACAAAACAAGUCAAUUGAAAUAUUUAU